This 468-nucleotide ribosomal RNA is filed under the name uncultured bacterium. RNAcentral describes it as "partial 16S ribosomal RNA". It matches the Rfam family "Bacterial small subunit ribosomal RNA", at positions 28 to 507 of the family's 1533-position model. The record is from RNAcentral.
GACGAACGCUGGCGGCGUGCUUAACACAUGCAAGUCGAACGGAAAGGCCCUGCUUUUGUGGGGUGCUCGAGUGGCGAACGGGUGAGUAACACGUGAGUAACCUGCCCUUGACUUUGGGAUAACUUCAGGAAACUGGGUCUAAUACCGGAUAGGAGCUCCUGCUGCAUGGUGGGUGUUGGAAAGUUUCGGCGGUUGGGGAUGGACUCGCGGCUUAUCAGCUUGUUGGUGGGGUAGUGGCUUACCAAGGCUUUGACGGGUAGCCGGCCUGAGAGGGUGACCGGCCACAUUGGGACUGAGAUACGGCCCAGACUCCUACGGGAGGCAGCAGUGGGGAAUAUUGCACAAUGGGCGGAAGCCUGAUGCAGCAACGCCGCGUGCGGGAUGACGGCCUUCGGGUUGUAAACCGCUUUCGCCUGGGACGAAGCGUGAGUGACGGUAAUGGGUAAAGAAGCACCGGCUAACUACGUG